GUGGGGAAUAUUGGGCAAUGGAGGAAACUCUUACCCAGCAAUGCCGCGUGAGUGAUGAAGGUCUUAUGGAUUGUAAAGCUCUUUGAUUGGGGACGAAUAAAUGACGGUACCCAAAGAACAAGCCCCGGCUAACUAUGUGCCAGCAGCCGCGGUAAUACAUAGGGGGCGAGCGUUGUCCGGAAUGACUGGGCGUAAAGGGUGUGUAGGCGGUUUAUCAAGUUAGAAGUGUAAUACCUAGGGCUUAACUCAGGUGCUGCUUCUAAAACUGAUAGACUUGAGUGUGGGAGAGGAUGAUGGAAUUCCUAGUGUAGCGGUGGAAUGCAUAGAUAUUAGGAGGAACACCAGAGGCGAAGGCGAUCGUCUGGACCAUAACUGACGCUGAGGCACGAAAGCGUGGGGAGCAAACAGGAUUAGAUACCCGAGUAGUCC
This 429-nucleotide ribosomal RNA is filed under the name uncultured bacterium. RNAcentral describes it as "partial 16S ribosomal RNA". It matches the Rfam family "Bacterial small subunit ribosomal RNA", at positions 354 to 796 of the family's 1533-position model. The record is from RNAcentral.